UUGCUUCAGGGAUGAACAGGUCCCUUACAUGCAUCCCCAUCCUUUUUCACUUUGUCAGCAACAAUUUCUUUGUAUCUUGCUGAUCAUUUGAGGAUGGAACAAUU
Molecule: small nucleolar RNA, 104 nt
Organism: Diospyros lotus (date-plum)
Lineage: Eukaryota; Viridiplantae; Streptophyta; Magnoliopsida; Ericales; Ebenaceae
Product: small nucleolar RNA snoR99
Exons: 1
Source: RefSeq, a predicted model, not a curated record